Molecule: ribosomal RNA, 253 nt
Filed under: uncultured bacterium
Lineage: Bacteria
Description: partial 16S ribosomal RNA
Rfam family: Bacterial small subunit ribosomal RNA
Source: RNAcentral
GACGUAGGGAGCGAGCGUUGUCCGGAUUCAUUGGGCGUAAAGAGCGCGCAGGCGGUUUGGUAAGUCGGAUGUGAAAUCCCGGAGCUCAACUCCGGACCUGCAUCCGAAACUGCCCGACUAGAGGUAGGUAGGGGAGAUCGGAAUUCCUGGUGUAGCGGUGAAAUGCGCAGAUAUCAGGAGGAACACCGGUGGCGAAGGCGGAUCUCUGGGCCUUACCUGACGCUCAGGCGCGAAAGCUAGGGGAGCGAACAGG